CGGACCGGCACGGGUGAGUAACGCGUAUCCAACCUGCCCUUUACUAUGGGACAGCCCGUCGAAAGGCGGAUUAAUACCGUAUGUUGUCAUGUUGAUGCAUAUUUUCAUGACCAAAGGCUUCGGCCGGUAAAGGAUGGGGAUGCGUCUGAUUAGCUUGCCGGCGGGGUAACGGCCCACCGGGGCGACGAUCAGUAGGGGUUCUGAGAGGAAGGUCCCCCACAUUGGAACUGAGACACGGUCCAAACUCCUACGGAAGGCAGCAG
RNAcentral lists this ribosomal RNA (263 nucleotides) under uncultured bacterium. RNAcentral's name for it is "partial 16S ribosomal RNA". It matches the Rfam family "Bacterial small subunit ribosomal RNA", at positions 91 to 354 of the family's 1533-position model. The record is from RNAcentral.